AUGACUCCUCCUUCCACCCCUAGCCAUGACGUCCAACCUCUAACGCCGCCUGAAACCCUAGCCCGAAUCCGACAGAGGUGCAGCAGCACGGUAUCCCCUCCAAAAGCAGUUGAAGGAAGGGACGGAUCAUGGAGAAGCUGCAAGGGCCGCAUCGAGCGCGCACGCACGCCACCGUCCCUCGGAGGGCGCCUUGCUGCUAGGGCUCGCCAACUACGCGGACGAGGAGGAGGAUGA
This 234-nucleotide ribosomal RNA is filed under the name Triticum aestivum (bread wheat). RNAcentral's name for it is "partial small subunit ribosomal RNA". The record is from RNAcentral. Lineage: Eukaryota; Viridiplantae; Streptophyta; Magnoliopsida; Poales; Poaceae.